Molecule: long non-coding RNA, 1858 nt
Filed under: Hordeum vulgare
Lineage: Eukaryota; Viridiplantae; Streptophyta; Magnoliopsida; Poales; Poaceae
Description: long non-coding RNA (HVUL_LNC005251)
Source: RNAcentral
AACUAUACAUCCGUAAAAUGACAACUAUGAUAACAUAAAUGUGGCAACUAGGAACGACGAAAAAAAAUUCAACGAAACAUGUCAACAUGGGAUCUUAUUUUGAAGGUCUCGUCGAGACGAACCUAACGAUGAAAGCGAAUCUUUAAUAAAAUUAUUAACUGUGAGAUAAAUUAUUUAUAAAAUUUAAAAAAGCAAUGCAAUGAUGUAAGCAUGAGGUGGUAAUUUUUGCAUGUGUACCGGGCUGCGCGAGCCGCUGUAUGGGAGAGCUGUGAUGGAGCGCUUCUCUUUAUAAUUUUGCUAGAAUAAUAGCGGAACGCCCCUCUGUUCCACGAAAAACAGAUUCUCAGUGGUAAUCAGCACCGUGAUGGCAUGAUCCAUGCAUGUUCUUCUGACACGUUAUUCCCGGCGAUGGUUGUACGUUACGGCUUAAAUUUACACUGACUCAAACUGACUGCCGGCCUAGACCGGCCAUUGUUUGACCUUCCAGCCUCACUACGCGGACAAACUUAUAUAUCUCCUACGGAAUCAAAAGACCAACGUAACCUACCAACAGUUUUUAAUAAUCUCCUACACGACGCUUCGUGCCAUGUGAGGGGGCUAAGAUAACAACAAAUGUGUACUGAUGAGAUCACGCUCAUAAGCGAACAAAAAGGCUAGUGAGGAUCAAUCAUAUUUUAGCCAUGGCGUGACAAAGCACCAGCUUGUCGUGGCUCCCUUGUCCGCUUGCCACACCCCCCUCGCCAGCGCGAAAUGACCCUGAACGCCCUCGGAAAUUAAACGCGGGCGCAGAGAGGGCAGCAGCCAUUGACCGUUCCGAGCUCUCGCAGGAACAGAGGCCGCAGCGAGCAGAGCUCAGCUCCCAAUCAAUCAAUCACUCACUCACUCACUCAAUCAUUGUACUGCUGUUUCAGAUCUUUGCUCUCCAAAGAAGAAGUGGAAACCGGGGAUGGGAUGGGGUGAGGAAGGAGAAGAUACAUCGUAGUACAUGUGGUGAUUUUUACACUCUUUUCUUUGGAUGCAAACUCCGGAGCUCGAUCUAAUGGGCUGGCUAAUUACAGUUACAUCACCGCGUAUGUGAUUGUAUGGCGCACACGGCACACUACUAGCUAGCCGGUGUUCUUCCGCGCGGGAAAAAUGGGAGCGAGGAAGAACCUGCCGCGGCGCUAGUUGUGCAGCGGGUUGGGCCCCUGCGGAACCAGCCUCUUGGAGUCGCCCAGCGCGGCCGCCGCGCCGCCGGAACGGGUAGCCGCCGCCGUCGUCGUCGUCGUCGUGGACGCCGUCCGUCCAGUCGGCGUCGCCCCGCGCCUCCAGGCGGCGACGUCCGCCCUGGGGAUCCUGUGGCCGCAGCUGAAGGUGGCGAGCUCGGACGCCAGGAGGAGGAGAAGCACCGCCAGUAGCUGCAGGGCGCCGCCGGCGUCCCUCACCAUGCUAAGGGCAGAGAUUGGUGGGAGGGGAGGAGCGGGCUAGCUGGCCGGCCUCCCGGAGGAGGAGGGGGCGAUUCUGUACUUGUGCGCGUAACUGCGCUUGUAUGGACGCGGCGCAGCUAGCAACCGAGCGGAGUGUUUUGGGGGUUGUUGCUUUGUGCCGUAGGUGCUACUACUAAUAAGAUGGCCGGCCGGAUGGGGUCGUCGGUCACCGUUUCCCGAUCUGCAGCGUAGAUUGCUCGUGUCGUGUGUAGUCUGUAGUGACCCGAAGGGGAGGGAGAUGAUUGAGGCUUUGAGGGGUGGCCGGUUGACUAUGGAAAAAACAGCCGGCCUGGCUAGCCAGCUAGCCAACUCAUGUGAUGUGAUGUGUCUGUGUUGUGUUGUGCAAGAUGUUAGAAUAAAACGCUAAUGCAAGAUCAUAGACGACACACCGG